This 62-nucleotide transfer RNA is filed under the name Rhinebothrium flexile. Its description in RNAcentral is "tRNA-Val". The record is from RNAcentral. Lineage: Eukaryota; Metazoa; Platyhelminthes; Cestoda; Rhinebothriidea; Rhinebothriidae.
UGCGAUGUAGUUUAUUAAAAUACUUACUUUACACGUAAGAGUAUCCUUAUAGGACUUUGUAA